This is a non-coding RNA of Schistosoma mattheei, 45 nucleotides long. The record is from Rfam. Lineage: Eukaryota; Metazoa; Platyhelminthes; Trematoda; Strigeidida; Schistosomatidae.
AUCCAGCUGACGAGUCCCAAACCGAACGAAACGCGCGUCCUGUAU